RNAcentral lists this ribosomal RNA (433 nucleotides) under uncultured bacterium. Its description in RNAcentral is "partial 16S ribosomal RNA". It matches the Rfam family "Bacterial small subunit ribosomal RNA", at positions 29 to 507 of the family's 1533-position model. The record is from RNAcentral.
AACGAACGCUGGCGGCAUGCCUAACACAUGCAGGUCGAACGAGACCUUCGGGUCUAGUGGCGCACGGGUGCGUAACGCGUGGGAACCUGCCCUUAGGUUCGGAAUAACUCCCCGAAAGGGGUGCUAAUACCGGAUAAUGUCUUCGGACCAAAGAUUUAUCGCCUUUGGAUGGGCCCGCGUUGGAUUAGCUAGUUGGUAGGGUAAAAGCCUGCCAAGGCGACGAUCCAUAGCUGGUCUGAGAGGAUGAUCAGCCACACUGGGACUGAGACACGGCCCAGACUCCUACGGGAGGCAGCAGUGGGGAAUAUUGGACAAUGGGCGAAGGCCUGAUCCAGCAAUGCCGCGUGAGUGAUGAAGGCCUUAGGGUUGUAAAGCUCUUUUACCCGGGAUGAUAAUGACAGUACCGGGAGAAUAAGCUCCGGCUAACUCCGUG